GACAGAGGCGGCGACCGUUACCCGGAUUCACUGGGCGUAAAGGGUGCGUAGGUGGUCGCGCAUGUCGUCGGUGAAAUCUCCCUGCUCAACGGGGAGAGGUCCGACGAAACUGCGCGGCUGGAGGGCCGGAGAGGGAGGCGGAACUUCCAGAGUAGCGGUGAAAUGCGUAGAUACUGGAAGGUGCCUCAAUAGCGAAGGCAGCCUCCUGGCCGGUUCCUGACGCUGAGGCACGAAAGCGUGGGGAGCAAACCGG
This 253-nucleotide ribosomal RNA is filed under the name uncultured bacterium. Its description in RNAcentral is "partial 16S ribosomal RNA". It matches the Rfam family "Bacterial small subunit ribosomal RNA", at positions 524 to 776 of the family's 1533-position model. The record is from RNAcentral.